UUCUCGUUGACUAUAACUUAUAAACUAUACACAAACACCUCUCUGUGUCUGCAAAUAAAACACAGAGAAUUAGAAACCAAAUACACACACACACAAAACACCACACAAAAACUUCAUCAUCUUCAUAUGACCAAAAACCCAACCCACAACACCUCCUACCUCACCCUCGACUUCUCUCUCCCCCUCUGUAAUUAAUCCGACAGCCGCAAGAAGAGGAGGAGGAGGCGCCGGUUACGGCUGUUCCUCCGGUCACCGGAGCGACGCCGGUCAUCUUCUCCGGCCGCACAAUCGUACCCACAGCUGACAACCCCCCCCCCUCCGUCAGUUGAAGAGACGACCACCGGGUGGUGGUCAGUGACGACUAGAUCGAGAAGCAGAUGAGAGAGAAAGAAGGGCGGCGGUAUUCCGAUGACAAUCGAAGAGAGAGAUCGGCGAGUGAUGGCGGCAGCCGAUGGCUAGUUCCGGCGACAGUGGUGGCGGGGCGGCGACUUUAAUUCCUUCCGAUAAGGUUCACCGUCUGCAGAGAAGAUGAUGAUGAUGUUGAAUAUGGUGGUGGUCGACGACGGCAUGACCACCGGAGUCACCAGAACUGGCGACGGCGGCAGAGGUGAUGGUUAUUCGGUUCAGGUUCGGUUUCAUUUCGAGUUCGGGUAAACAUGAUUCAGUUUAGGCUCGGUUCUGACCUAUUGAUUUCAGUUUUGGUUCGGUUCAACAUAUUUGAUUUCAAGUCAAAUGGGUCGGCUCAUUCUCAGGUUCGAGUUAUGAAGUCAAUAAGACAACAUGGAUUUGGUUCUGGUUCGGUCAGAUGGCUCGGUUCGGUUGACUCGGUCAACUCACCGAGUCAACCGAGUCAACUCAGUCAACAGAUGGGUUCGGGUUCGACUCAGUGCACUUCGCCUCGACUCAGUCCAACUCGGUUUCGACUCGGUGUAUUUUGGUUUGACUCGGUCAAACUGGUCGACUCGGCAAGUCGACUCGGUCAACUCUGCAUUUCGACAUGAGAAGAUGGUAAAUAUUUUACGGCGCAAUUCAUUUCGAUAUUCUUAUACUUUUAUUUAUUUUCGCGUGAAAAACGAGCUCGAACCAAUCGACUGGAACAUAGUUAAAUUUUGACAUAUUUGGCGAAGGUUAUAUAGCUUGAUUGAUUAUGUUGAAUUAA
Helianthus annuus (common sunflower) is the source of this 1159-nucleotide RNA transcript. RefSeq lists it as uncharacterized. The record is from RefSeq and is a predicted model, not a curated record. NCBI's taxonomy places the organism in Eukaryota, Viridiplantae, Streptophyta, Magnoliopsida, Asterales, Asteraceae. The transcript is spliced from 2 exons.